GGAGUUAGCCGGUGCUUCUUCUGCGAGUAACGUCACAGAUGUAAGGUAUUAACUUACACCCUUUCCUCCUCGCUGAAAGUGCUUUACAACCCGAAGGCCUUCUUCACACACGCGGCAUGGCUGCAUCAGGGUUUCCCCAUUGUGCAAUAUUCCCCACUGCUGCCUCCCGUAGGAGUCUGGGCCGUGUCUCAGUCCCAGUGUGGCUGAUCAUCCUCUCAGACCAGCUAGGGAUCGUCGCCUAGGUGAGCCUUUACCUCACCUACUAGCUAAUCCCACCUGGGCUUAUCCAUCAGCGCAAGGCCCGAAGGUCCCCUGCUUUCCCCCGUAGGGCGUAUGCGGUAUUAGCAGUCGUUUCCAACUGUUAUCCCCCACAAAUGGGCAAAUUCCCAGGCAUUACUCCACCCGUCCGCCGCCUCGUCACUCUUACUAAACGACAACGUACUUUUAGUUAAAUAGUUACCGUACCGUCGUACUUACGUCAUGUUGUUAGGUCCGUCGCCGCCGACGCGUUACUAACUACUGAGACCGACGAAUACAAACCUACUACGUA
RNAcentral lists this ribosomal RNA (550 nucleotides) under uncultured bacterium. RNAcentral's name for it is "partial 16S ribosomal RNA". The record is from RNAcentral.